CUAAGUGAAACGCGAAAAACGUGCGUGUGAAAUUUUGCACUCGUGCACGUGCUGUGCACGGACGACCCAGCAACGCGAUCCCAGAAAGUUGAAACAUUUUCAACUUUUCAUCGCUGUCGCUCGGACGAGGACCAAUCAACGGAGGUUUCAUUCACUGACCAAUGAGCGGACAGGAUGCUCCGUACACGAGCAAACAUGGAGGAGAAGUUGAUUAUUAUUAUGUUUUAUAUAGUAAAAUCAGAAGUAAGAUUUCACAUAACUCUAGCAGCACCUUGUGAAACAUCAUACGUACCACUUUAUUAACUCUGAACCGCUUAAAUAACCUUAAUUCCCUCCAACCUGACACAGACAAACAAAACAACGGAAGUUUCGAUUUCGCCAUGGAACAGAACGCGUAGACGGCUUUGCCGCAGGCCGCUGCCGCGGAUCGCCUCCCGUGUGUCAGGUAAUAAAAGCGACAGCGACAAAUUUCGCUGAUCGCGGUCGUUUGUCGCCUCCCGUGUGUCGAGCCGAAUACGUGACAAAACGAUAAUCGCAGGUCUCCCUCCUACCAAGCGAAACGCGAAAAACGUGCGUGUGAAAUUUUGCGCUCGUGCACGUGUCGUGCACAGGCAACCCAGCGACGCGAUCCCAGAAAGUUUAAACAUUUUCAACUUUUCAUCGCUGUCGCUCGGACGAGAACCAAUCAACGGAGGUUUCAUUCACUGACCAAUGAGCGGACAGGAUGCUCCGUACCCCUCCGAGCAAACAUGGAGGAGAAGUUGAUUAUUAUUAUGUUUUAUAUAGUAAAAUCAGAAGUAAGAUUUCACAUAACUCUAGCAGCACCUUGUGAAACAUCAUACGUACCAACUUAUUAACUCUGAACCGCUUAAAUAACAUUAAUUCCCUCCAACGUGACACAGCCAAACAAAACAACGGAAGUUUCGAUUUCGCCAUGGAACAGAACGCGUAGACGGCUUUGCCGCUGCCGCGGAUCGCCUCCCGUGUGUCAGAAACCUGCAUGAACGUGCUUCAGCAACAUUACCGAUCUCCGAGAUCCCUGGGCCAAGAAGGGCUUCUUUGUAUUUGCGUAAGCUUUCAUCAUCCUUGUCCAGCUCCUGGAUCUCUUUUACUGACUUCUGGGCUGGAGGCUUGUAGUUUACUGGUUCUGGCUCCUCAUUUUCAGCGGCAAUAGCUGCUAGCUGCUCUGGAGUCACCUCAUCCUCAGCCAUGUCUAGAGGCGGAGCGGGCAGGGGGAGACAAAAAACGAGCUAGCUGAGAAUAAGAGUAAAAUAAAUGGAUAAAACAACUGGAUACAUUCCUGAGGGUGAAGACUGUGAAUCAGAUAACAUAAAGCUACCAUCAGCCUGGACAGAAAUCAUCAUUCAUCAUCUGAAAUCAUCAUCUCUGUGCUGCUGCCAAAACUGACACUGCCGUGUGAGAUCAUCUCUGGUCAACUGAAUUACGUGUCUCGCAUCACAUGAUAAAAGCCUCUCUGGGAGGAUGUGGUGAAGACCUCACUGUUCAGGUCAUGGGAAAAAACGCAACUUUCUCCGGAGCAUCAGGAAUGAGACAGAUGGGAUUUAAGGAAUGGUAUCAUCUCAUUAUGAGAAUUUAUAUUUCAGUUUAGAGGUUUUUCUUUAAUUUAGCCACAGAUUCAAUUAAUUCUUAUAAGACCAUAUGAUUGUGAUGAGCGUUUAGUGCUACAAUUUAUUUUAACAACUAACUGUUCAUUUGGCAGUCUUCCAGUGGAAAAGUCAUCUCCCGCUCAGAAGUCAGUGUUAGAACGAUUUCCUCAGCCGAAACACGGCGAGUAACAAAAGCAGGAAGAGCUCCGUUUGGUUUGACAUUCCGGCCAUCCCACCCGCAGAUCUCCACACAACCAUCAAUACAGGCCAGGGGACCAAAGUUGUGCAGUUUAAACAUUUAUUCAGAAUGAUUUCAGUUUUUAUUAGAAUUACUUUAUCCUUUUCCCAACUUGGAGCUGCUUACUAAUAUUUAACAAUGUUACUGUAAUUGAUUUAUUGCUGUUGUCCUCACGACCUGACUCUGGAUAAGCUGAAGAGGGAGGGAGAGAGGGAUGGAUGGAUGGAUGCUUUUUUUAAAUAAAAAUGUCUACAACAUCAU
This is a long non-coding RNA of Nothobranchius furzeri (turquoise killifish), 2106 nucleotides long. RefSeq lists it as uncharacterized. The record is from RefSeq and is a predicted model, not a curated record. Lineage: Eukaryota; Metazoa; Chordata; Actinopteri; Cyprinodontiformes; Nothobranchiidae.